UGUUAUCUGACACUGUUGCCUCCGGGGCGACCCGGCCUGCCUUCGGGUGUUUCGGGGCCCCGGGUGGACCAUUCAACUCUGCAUCUUUGCGUCUGAGUAAAUGAUUGAAUCAAUCAAAACUUUCAACAACGGAUCUCUUGGUUCUGGCAUCGAUGAAGAACGCAGCGAAAUGCGAUAAGUAAUGUGAAUUGCAGAAUUCAGUGAAUCAUCGAAUCUUUGAACGCACAUUGCGCCCCCUGGUAUUCCGAGGGGCAUGCCUGUUCGAGCGUCAUUACACCACUCAAGCCUCGCUUGGUAUUGGGCGUCGCGUCCGCCGCGCGCCUCAAAGUCUCCGGCUGGCCCUCAAUCGUGUCGCAGCGUCGUGAUUAGAUACCCGCUUCGAAUUCCACGUGAGUGCGCCAUGGGCCGUUAAACACUUUCUACAGGUUGACCUCGGAUCAGGUAGG
Molecule: ribosomal RNA, 446 nt
Filed under: Austroafricana associata
Lineage: Eukaryota; Fungi; Ascomycota; Dothideomycetes; Mycosphaerellales; Teratosphaeriaceae
Description: eukaryotic LSU rRNA
Rfam family: 5.8S ribosomal RNA (bases 118-271)
Source: RNAcentral